UAUGUGAUCGUCUCUCGCAUAUCAAUAAGCGGAGGAAAAGAAACUAACAAGGAUUCCCCUAGUAACGGCGAGUGAAGCGGGAAGAGCUCAAAUUUGAAAUCUUAAAGGGUUUCCCUUUACGAAUUGUAGUUUAAAGAAGUGUUUUCUGUUGAGGUUUUGGUAAAAGUUCUUUGGAAUAGGACAUCAUAGAGGGUGAGAAUCCCGUAUUUGACCUUUACUUCUCAACUUUGUGAUACACUUUCAAAGAGUCGGAUUGUUUUGGGAAUGCAGUCCAAAAUGGGUGGUAAAUUUCAUCUAAAGCUAAAUAUUGGCGAGAGACCGAUAGCGAACAAGUACCGUGAGGGAAAGAUGAAAAGAACUUUGAAAAGAGAGUUAAACAGUACGUGAAAUUGUCAAAAGGGAAGCGUUUGACACCAGUGUUGUUUUUCUGAAAAUCAAUUAAAGAACUGUUUAUGCUAAGCUGUUUAGACUUUAUCAGCUAUCUGUUUAGUUUUGAGCUUUUCUUUAAUGCACUUUUCAGUUAACAAGUCAACAUCAAUUUCUUUUGCUGUAAAAAAGCUUGAGGAAGGUGGCUUGAGAUUCGUCUUAAGUGUUUAUAGCCUCUUGCCUAUGCAGUCGGAGAGAUUGAGGUCUGCAGCGUAGAUCCUUCGGGGCUAAAUGCAUUUGUGCUAAGUUAUAGCAUUUCAUAGACAACUUGUUGACUAUGAUUUGUCUUGUAGCUUACUCGCUUAUGUUAUUUUACCUACGCUUAGGAUGUUGAUCUACAGAGCGAGAGU
This 776-nucleotide ribosomal RNA is filed under the name uncultured Neocallimastigales. RNAcentral's name for it is "partial large subunit ribosomal RNA". It matches the Rfam family "Eukaryotic large subunit ribosomal RNA", at positions 24 to 635 of the family's 3401-position model. The record is from RNAcentral. Lineage: Eukaryota; Fungi; Neocallimastigomycota; Neocallimastigomycetes; Neocallimastigales.